UCUUCCUCUUAGCCUUCUAUUUUUUUCUUCCUCUUAUCCUUCUAUUUUUCCAUUCCUUUUUUUUUCUUUUCUAUUUUCUUUUUCUAUUUUUUUCUUUUUCUGCCAACUUCUGAAAUAUUAUAAACAUAAUUAUUCAACCCCACACAACUCCAAACAAGACUCUUUCAACCCUUUGAAUAUGAUGAUAACAUUGUUUUUCACUUCUCGGCUUGUAAUGAGUUUUAAACAAAAAAGGGAGAAUAGGCUCAAGGGGGUUUCAAACAAGGGAUGAAAUUAUUUCAGGGUUGACUUUUUG
RNAcentral lists this long non-coding RNA (295 nucleotides) under Lathyrus oleraceus (garden pea). RNAcentral describes it as "Pisum sativum (pea) long non-coding RNA (PSAT_LNC003798)". The record is from RNAcentral. Lineage: Eukaryota; Viridiplantae; Streptophyta; Magnoliopsida; Fabales; Fabaceae.